Molecule: non-coding RNA, 84 nt
Organism: Hypholoma sublateritium FD-334 SS-4
Lineage: Eukaryota; Fungi; Basidiomycota; Agaricomycetes; Agaricales; Strophariaceae
Source: the annotation of a GenBank genome assembly
UCCCUCUUAGCUCAGCGGUAGAGCGCGUCACUAGUACACUCUCGGUGUAUGACGAGGUCAGUCGUUCAAAUCGGCUAGAGGGAA